Molecule: ribosomal RNA, 497 nt
Filed under: uncultured bacterium
Lineage: Bacteria
Description: partial 16S ribosomal RNA
Rfam family: Bacterial small subunit ribosomal RNA
Source: RNAcentral
GAUGAACGCUGGCGGCGUGCCUAAUACAUGCAGGUCGAGCGAACAGAUGAGGAGCUUGCUCCUCUGACGUUAGCGGCGGACGGGUGAGUAACACGUGGAUCACCUACCUAUAAGACUGGGAUAACUUCGGGAAACCGGAGCUAAUCCCGGAUAAUCUCUUGCACCGCAUGGUUCAUUGGUGAAAUACGGUUUUGCUGUCACGUCUAGAUGGUUCCGCGCCGCUUUGGCUAGUUGGUAAGGUAACGGCUUACCACGGCGACUAUGCGUAGCCGACCUGAGAGGGGGAUAGGCCACACUGGAACUUGGACAGGGUCCAGACGCCUACGGGAGGAAGCAGUAGGGAAUCUUCCGCAAUGGGCGAAAGCCUGACGGAGCAACGGCGCGCGAGUUAUGAAGGUCUUCGGAUCGUAAAGCUGGGUUACUAGGGAAGAACAAAUUUCGAAUUAACUAUGCACGUCUUGACGGUACCGAAUCAGAAAGCCACGGCUAACUACGUG